GAUUUAUUUGUUUGUGUAGGUGCGAGGGACUCGUGCGUGGCCUCCUACUGGAUUGAUACCUUGGUUCUCAAAAACUGAGGGAAAUACUUACGCUACUUUGCUGCAUCACCCUUUCCUAUUCAAGGGAAAACCAACGCAGUGCUGAAGAGGUAGCAAGAAGGAUUUCUGGCGCCGUUGCCGGGGAGGUCUACGUAAAAGUCAACAUACCAAGGACCCAUCACAAACCCUUAUCUCCUGCAUUACAUUAUUUGCCAUUUGCCUCUCGUUUUCCUCUCCCCCACUUCACCCUUGCCGUUUUAUUCGCCCUCUCUUUUCUGCUCGCCCUUCUUUCGCCAUGUCUGAAUCAAAAAGGGUUAGGGGUUCUCUCUCGGGUUUUAGUACCUUGGAUAACCCCUCUGUCCUCUCUAAGCUCAUAAACAAUGAUCCUGUAGAAAGACCUACCGGGGUCAUCAAUGAAAGUCUGAAUAAUUUGGAUGAAGAUGAUUGCAGAAUAUUUCGUUAUUUACUUGAUGAAUCUUUGAAAGAUGCUUGGGAUAGGCUGUUAAGGAUCCGGGCUAGCUAUGUACCCCAAUAUCAAAUUGAGGUUUAUCUAAAAAGCUUUUAUGUUGGGUUACCCGCUUCGUUCAAACAAGUUUUAGAUUAUAUUUUUGAAGAGGGUUUUCUUGAAGCGGACCCCAUAGAUACCUAUGAAAAGAUGAAAACUAUAUUUGGGCAUCCCAUGAAUGAGAAAGUUGAAUCCACAUCUCUUUUGCUCUCCUACCAAAACGAAUCUAUUAAAGAGAUAAAAGCUAGCCUAGAUGCAAAUUUCCGCAACGUGCUUAAUCUUUCUUCUACCAUCAAUAGCCACGUGCUUUAUCAAAAUAGAAAGAUUAAUUCCAUAGAUAACAAGUUUUCUCUUUUCUUCCCUAAAACCAAAGAUGGCAAUACCUAGAUCUAUCCUUGCUAUUAUGCCUAGCUAGGGGCGUUAAACGAUAGCGCUUGUUGGGAGGCAACCCAAUUUUAUUUCUAGUUUUUGCUUUUUGCUUCUGUUUAGGAAUAAAUAUUUGUUCUAUCCUCUGGUUAGAUGUGUUUUUAUGUUUUAAUUAGUGUUUGUGCCAAGUUAAACCUAUAGGAUCUUCUUGGAUGAUAGUUAUUUGAUCUUGCAGAAAAUUCCAGAAACUUUCUGUUCACGAAAAUAAUUGUUAAAAAUCACCAGAACGUGAUAAAAUAUUGAUUCAAAUUUCUUCUGAUCAAUAAACAAAUUGUCUAGGUCGUCCUAUUUUGGCUGAUUUUUUGGAGUUCCAGAAGUUUGCUUUAGUUACAGAUUACUACAGACUAUUCUGUUUUUGACAGAUUCUGCUUUUCGUGUGUUGUUUGCUUAUUUUGACGAAUCUAUGGCUAGUAAAAUAGUUUAUAAACCAUAGAGAAGUUGGAAUACAGUAGGUUUAACACCAAUAUAAAUAAAGAAUGAGUUCAUUACAGUACCUUGAAGUCGUCUUUUGUUUUCUUUCGCUAACGGAGCUCACGAGAUUUUCUGCUGAGUUUUGUGUUGUGAAGUUUUCAAGUUUUGGGUGAAAGAUUUGAUGGAUUAUGGAACAAGGAGUGGCAAGAGCCUAAGAUUGGGGAUGCCCAUGGCACCCCCAAGAUAAUCUAAGGACACCUAAAAGCCAAAGCUUGGGGAUGCCCCGGAAGGCAUUCCCUCUUUCGUCUACUUCCAUCGGUAACUUUACUUGGAGCUAUAUUUUUAUUCACCACAUGAUAUGUGUUUUGCUUGGAGCGUCUUGUAUUAUUUGAGUCUUUAUUUUUUAGUUUACCACUUUCAUCCUUGCUGUACACACCUUUUGAGAGAGACACACAUGAUUCGGAAAUUAUUAGAAUACUCUAUGUGCUUCGCUUAUAUCUUUUGAGUUAUAUGGUUUUUGCUCUAGUACUUCACUUAUAUCUUUUAGAGCACGGUGGUGGAUUUGUUUUAUAGAAACUAUUGAUAUCUCAUGCUUCACUUAGAUUAUUUUGAGAGUCUUAAAUAGCAUGGUAAUUUUCUUAAAUAAUCCUAACAUGCUAGGUAUUCAAGAUUAGUAAAAACUUUCUUAUGAGUGUGUUGAAUACUAAGAGAAGUUUGAUGCUUGAUGAUUGUUUUGAGACAUGGAGGUAGUGAUAUCAAAGUUGUGCUAGUUGAGUAGUUGUGAAUUUGAGAAAUACUUGUGUUGAAGUCUGCAAGUCCCGUAGCAUGCACAUAUGGUAAACGUUAUGUAACAAAUUUGAAACAUGAGGUGUUCUUUGAUUGUCCUCCUUAUGAGUGGCGGUCGGGGACGAGCGAUGGUCUUUUCCUACCAAUCUAUCCCCCUAGGAGCAUGCGCGUAGUGCUUGGUUUUUGAUGACUUGUAGAUUUUUGCAAUAAGUAUGUGAGUUCUUUAUGACUAAUGUUGAGUCCAUGGAUUAUACGCACUCUCACCUUUCCAUCAUUGCUAGCCUCUUUGGUACCGUGCAUUGCCCUUUCUCACAUUGAGAGUUGGUGCAAACUUCGCCGGUGCAUCCAAACCCCGUGAUAUGAUACGCUCUUUCACACAUAAACCUCCUUAUAUCUUCCUCAAAACAUCCACCAUACCUACCUAUUAUGGCAUUUCCAUAGCCAUUCCGAGAUAUAUUGCCAUGCAACUUUCCACCGUUCCAUUUAUCAUGACACGUUCAUCAUUGUCAUAUUGCUUUGCAUGAUCAUGUAGUUGACAUAGUAUUUGUGGCAAAGCCACCGUUCAUAAUUCUUUCAUACAUGUCACUCUUGGUUCAUUGCAUAUCCCGGUACACCGCCGGAGGUAUUCAUAUAGAGUCAUACUUUGUUCUAGUAUCGAGUUGUAAUCAUUGAGUUGUAAAUAAAUAGAAGUGUGAUGAUCAUCAUUUUCUAGAGCAUUGUCCCAAGUGAGGAAUAAAAAAAUAAAAAAGAGAAGGCCCAAAAAAAUGAGAGAAAAAGAGAGAAGGGACAAUGUUACGAUCCAUUUACCACACUUGUGCUUCAAAGUAACACCAUAAUCUUCAUGAUAGAGAGUCUCUUGUUUUGUCACCUUCAUAUACUAGUGGGAUUUUUCAUUAUAGAACUUGGCUUGUAUAUUCCAACAAUGGGCCUCCUCAAGUGCCCUAGGUCUUCGUGAGCAAGCAAGUUGGAUGCACACCCACUUAGUUUCUUUUGUUGAGCUUUCAUAUAUUUAUAGCUCUAGUAAAUCCGUUGCAUGGCAAUCCCUACUCCUUGCAUUAACAUCAAUCGAUGGGCAUCUCCAUAGCUCAUUGAUUAGCCUCGUUGAUGUGAGACUUUCUCCUUUUUUGUCUUCUCCACAUAACCCCCAUCAUCAUAUUCUAUUCCACCCAUAGUGCUAUAUCCAUGGCUCACGCUCAUGUAUUGCGUGAAGGUUGAAAAAGUUUGAGAUUACUAAAGUAUGAAACAAUUGCUUGGCUUGUCAUCGGGGUUGUGCAUGGUGAGAACAUUCUUGUGUGACAAAAAUGGAGCAUGACUAAACUAUAUGAUUUUGUAGGGAUGAACUUUCUUUGGCCAUGUUAUUUUGAGAAGACAUAAUUGCUUAGUUAGUAUGCUUGAAGUAUUAUUAUUUUUAUGUCAAUAUUGAAAUUUUAUCUUGAAUCUUUCGGAUCUAAAUAUUCAUACCACAAUUAAGAAGAAUUACAUUGAAAUUAUGCCAAGUAGCAUUCCACAUCAAACAUUCUGUUUUUAUCAUUUACCUACUCGAGGACGAGCAGGAAUUAAGCUUGGGGAUGCUUGAUACGUCUCCAACGUAUCUAUAAUUUUUGAUUGCUCCAUGCUAUAUUAUCUUCUGUUUUGGACAUUAUUGGGCUUUAUUAUACACUUUUAUAUUAUUUUUGGGACUAACCUAUUAACCGGAGGCCAAGCCCAAAAUUGUUUUUUUUGCCUAUUUCAGAGUUUCGCAGAAAAAGAAUAUCAAACGGAGUCCAAACGGAAUGAAACCUUUGGGAACGUGAUUUUUGGAACGAACGUGAUCCAGAGGACUUGGACCCUACGUCAAGAAAGCUACCAGGAAGCCACAAGGUAGGGGGGCGCGCCUACCCCCUUGGGCGCGCCCUCCACCCUCGUGGGCCCCACGUUGCUCCACCGACGUACUCCUUCCUCCUAUAUAUACCUACGUACCCCCAAACUACCAGAUACGGAGCCAAAAACCUAAUUCCACCGCCGCAACCUUCUGUACCCGUGAGAUCCCAUCUUGGGGCCUGUUCCGGAGCUCCGCCGGAGGGGGCAUCGAUCACGGAGGGCUUCUAAAUCAACACCAUAGCCUCUCCGAUGAUGUGUGAGUAGUUUACCUCAGACCUUCGGGUUCAUAGUUAUUAGCUAGAUGGCUUCCUCUCUCUUUUUGGAUCUCAAUAAAAUGUUCUCCCCCUCUCUCGUGGAGAUCUAUUCGAUGUAAUCUUCUUUUGCGGUGUGUUUGUUGAGACCGAUGAAUUGUGGGUUUAUGAUCAAGUUUAUCUAUGAACAAUAUUUGAAUCUUCUCUGAAUUCUUUUAUGUAUGAUUGGUUAUCUUUGCAAGUCUCUUCGAAUUAUCAGUUUGGUUUGGCCUACUAGAUUGAUCUUUCUUGCAAUGGGACAAGUGCUUAGCUUUGGGUUCAAUCUUGCGGUGUCCUUUCCCAGUGACAGUAGGGGCAGCAAGGCACGUAUUGUAUUGUUGCCAUCGAGGAUAACAAGAUGGGGUUUAUAUCAUAUUGCAUGAGUGUAUCCCUCUACAUCAUGUCAUCUUGCUUAAAGCAUUACUCUGUUCUUAUGAACUUAAUACUCUAGAUGCAUGAUGGAUAGCGGUCGAUGUGUGGAGUAAUAGUAGUAGAUGCAGGCAGGAGUCGGUCUACUUGUCUCGGACGUGAUGCCUAUAUACAUGAUCAUACCUAGAUAUUCUCAUAACUAUGCUCAAUUCUGUCAAUUGCUCAAUAGUAAUUUGUUCACCCACCGUAAGUACUUAUGCUCUCGAGAGAAGCCACUAGUGAAACCUAUGGCCCCCGGGUCUAUUUUCCAUCAUAUUAAUCUUCCAACAACAAGCUAUUUCUUUUGUCGUUUUUAUUUUGUUUUCUUUACUUUGCAUCUUUAUCACAAAAAUACCAAAAAUAUUAUCUUAUCAAGAUCUCACUCUCGUAAGUGACUGUAUAGGGAUUGACAACCCCUUAUCGCGUUGGUUGCGAGGAUUUAUUUGUUUGUGUAGGUGCGAGGGACUCGUGCAUGGCCUCCUACUGGAUUGAUACCUUGGUUCUCAAAAACUGAGGGAAAUACUUACGCUACUUUUCUGCAUCACCCUUUCCUCUUCAAGGGAAAACUAACGCAGUGCUCAAGAAGUAGCAUGCUCCUGUUUGGAUACUCUAACUUAGCUAGAGGUUAGACUAACUCAUGACUAACCCUGAACUAACUGUAGCCAAAGAGGUGUUUGGAUGACAGGGUUAGAUUGAUAAUAAAUGCACUUGAUGGAGAGAGAAAAGUGACUUUUCAGUGGGCCCAAUGAGAACUAUCUCCAAUUAGCACCUCUUGGGUGGGAUAGUUUUUUUUGGUGGGUUCAGUGCAACUUGCUCCAAUUUAACCCUCAUGAUUGGAUACUUU
This 5569-nucleotide long non-coding RNA is filed under the name Triticum aestivum (bread wheat). Its description in RNAcentral is "long non-coding RNA (TAES_LNC000074)". Lineage: Eukaryota; Viridiplantae; Streptophyta; Magnoliopsida; Poales; Poaceae. The record is from RNAcentral.